ACUGCGAGUGUAGAGGUGAAAUUCGUAGAUAUUCGGAGGAACACCAGUGGCGAAGGCGGUUCUCUGGGCCUUUCCUGACGCUGAGGAGCGAAAGCGUGGGGAGCGAACAGGAUUAGAUACCCUGGUAGUCCACGCUGUAAACGGUGGGUACUAGGUGUGGGGUCCAUUCCACGGGUUCCGUGCCGUAGCUAACGCUUUAAGUACCCCGCCUGGGGAGUACGGCCGCAAGGCUAAAACUCAAAGGAAUUGACGGGGGCCCGCACAAGCGG
This 269-nucleotide ribosomal RNA is filed under the name Heterosigma akashiwo. Its description in RNAcentral is "partial Bacterial small subunit ribosomal RNA". It matches the Rfam family "Bacterial small subunit ribosomal RNA", at positions 666 to 932 of the family's 1533-position model. The record is from RNAcentral. Lineage: Eukaryota; Raphidophyceae; Chattonellales; Chattonellaceae.